UUGUUGGAGCAUUGUCCAGUGUGUAAUCCUUGUGAAGCUCCGAAGGUGGGAUAGCUACUGUGUGCGGAGUGUGCUAGUGGUGAGCCGCAGGUGGCUCGUUUCAUUCGAUGAUGGAGGCAUUGGCGCCGGAGGUGCGGCGGCGCUACGGUGAAGGAUCAAGACUGAGUGCGGUGACAUUGUUGUCAAGAUCGGAUUAGUGGUUGUGUACGGAAGCCACUGCUGCAUUCGAUUUUUUGUGAUCAUCGAAGGCACUGAUCUAUCUUCCUUGUUGGUUACGGUGCAAGGCGGCAGCGAAAGUGUGUGUUGUAGAGCGGUGCUUUGGAUCUUGUUGUUCAUAUUGCUCUUCUCGUUACCUGACAACGGUGUGGUUCUACUGAUGCUGCUGCGGAUCUUAAAGAAAUGAGCUACUGUUUUUUUCCGUUGGUGGUGUAGCCACUGAAUGGUGUUCGGCGGUGUUAAGCUACACUGGUUGCAGUGUGUUGUGGUGACGGUAGUGGUGUUGCUGCAAUCUUGGUGGCCACACUUUUCCUAUUCCGUUUUGGUGGCCGAUACUCCUAGUGCGGCGACGCAGAUUUUGUAUCCUCUUCCUUGCAAUUGUGCAGUUGGAGCGGAAUCUGGUUUCCCUCGUAUUACUGUUUCCAUCAAGGAAGGCUGCUCGUCACUAAAAAUGGCAUUGCUCUCUAGGGCGUUCCUUUCAUGUUGAUGGUUCAGUGGCACUGUGGAUUAUCGACGAUUCUUGUUACUGGCAUCGUCAUCAAUUAGUCUCAUUUGGCGGUCGUGAUCGGAGUGUCCCUAGAGUAAUGUAAAUUGCAUGAUAUUGCGGAAUAUUGUAAUCAAAUUCUGAAGUGUUUGUUGCACGGAUGCGUGCUUGAAGAACUUCCAAAGGAAUCAUCUUCAGAUUAAGUCCUGCGGUGCAGUGCCGUCAACUUGACUGGUGGUCAAUUUAAUUUGGCUCUUGUCAUCAUUCUCUUCUGGUUGCGGUGCUCGUUCCUCUCCGACGGUUGUUGGCUUCGUUUGAUUCGACCAUCGUUGGAGUUCCAAUCAUCGUCGUCACCUUCAGUCGAUCGGCACUCUAGGUGCCCUGGCCGUGUUGGAAGCGGAAGUUCCUCGUGAGGCAAGCACUGCAGUUACAGCGUAGUAGAAAAUUUACGUA
Molecule: long non-coding RNA, 1153 nt
Filed under: Physcomitrium patens
Lineage: Eukaryota; Viridiplantae; Streptophyta; Bryopsida; Funariales; Funariaceae
Description: long non-coding RNA (PPAT_LNC014355)
Source: RNAcentral